This 468-nucleotide ribosomal RNA is filed under the name uncultured bacterium. RNAcentral describes it as "partial 16S ribosomal RNA". It matches the Rfam family "Bacterial small subunit ribosomal RNA", at positions 28 to 507 of the family's 1533-position model. The record is from RNAcentral.
GACGAACGCUGGCGGCGUGCUUAACACAUGCAAGUCGAACGGAAAGGCCCUGCUUUUGUGGGGUGCUCGAGUGGCGAACGGGUGUGUAACACGUGAGUAUCCUGCCCUUGACUUUGGGAUAACUUCAGGCAACUGGGGCUAAUACCGGAUAGGAGCUCCUGCUGCAUGGGGGGGGUUGGACAGUUUCCGCGGUGGGGGAUGGACUCGCGGCUUAUCAGCUUGUUGGUGGGGUAGUGGCUUACCAAGGCUUUGGCGGGUAGCCGGCCUGAGAGGGUGACCGGCCACAUUGGGACUGAGAUACGGCCCAGACUCCUACGGGAGGCAGCAGUGGGGAAUAUUGCACAAUGGGCGGAAGCCUGAUGCAGCAACGCCGCGUGCGGGAUGACGGCCUUCGGGUUGUAAACCGCUUUCGCCUGUGACGAAGCGUGAGUGACGGUAAUGGGUAAAGAAGCACCGGCUAACUACGUG